AAGAGACAUUGAAUGUUAAGAGCUCCAUGGGAUGUUCUGUGGGAGCUUGGAAGAUACGAACCUUGAGAGAAGGGCAUGGAGACCUGGCUUGUGAAGUUUCAGAGGGAAGUUAAAGACUUUAUCAGGGCCGUUUGUUCUUUUUGAAUUAAGAUCCCAUGGUUCUGGUUAGCUGGGGCUGAAGAAUCAGCCGUGAUUAACAAGGUACCAGAACUACUAAAGUGAAACUUUGCUUUGCUGGGAUACUUGAUGCUGGUUGGCUGGAGCUAAGAAAUUAGUGUUGAUUAAGAUGAGACCAGCCAUCACUGAAGUGAAAUCUUCUGGGAAGCAUUUUCUGAGAGCACAGAGAAGCUACAUUCCAGAGACAGCUGCACGUUGUACCUCGUGCGGGCAGCUGGACCUGGUAAUGUGUGAGAGUCACCCAGGCGGUGCUGGUUUUGAAGGCGUGAAGGGGUCAUGGGGAGCAGCUGAGGCUUGGCACUAUGAGAGACUCUUGGUGAAGGUGCAGGCUUAGUGGCAGUUGAAGGUCCAGGAUUGAAGGGGUCACACAGAAAAGUAGAGGUGUGGCAUCACGAAGAGAGAUGGGCUUGGUGAAAGCGCAGCCCAGUUGCAGCAGAAGACCGGAAGUGUUUUGGAGAUGCCAGUGCCCUGGGAUGACCACCAAGAGCAGCAGCAGUGGAGAGGAGCCAAGAGGACAAGCUGUGUGUGCUGCAGAGGGCAGAGAUAGAGGAGUAACGCAAGCCUGUUGGAGGUGUUCUGAAGAUCGAAAACCCAUCUCCAAAGAGCAAAAGGACACUGAAUAUUCGGAUGCCUAAAGAAGAGAGGAUAACUAUCCAAAAAGAACCAUCAAGCAAAGGAGAAUCUGACAUGUGGAAAACUCUUGAAUUAUUUCUAUAUGAAACCUGUUUCUCUUUACUUUCAAGCACUCUUUUAGUCCCAACUCACUCAAACCAAUCCUGGAUUUGGAGCUGGAUUUGGCUCUCCUCCUCUCCUCCAAGCAUGUUGUUAAAAUAAAACUCAGAGUUUCUGUAUUAUAUCAAGAAGCCAAUUGAUACAAGACAGAAGAAAACAAAAUCUAGGGACUGUCGUUUGUCUAAACUCGGUUCUUUCCCCGAAAGCCUAAUAUACGUCACAUUUAUUAUUUUC
Mesocricetus auratus (golden hamster) is the source of this 1143-nucleotide long non-coding RNA. RefSeq lists it as uncharacterized. The record is from RefSeq and is a predicted model, not a curated record. The transcript is spliced from 2 exons. Lineage: Eukaryota; Metazoa; Chordata; Mammalia; Rodentia; Cricetidae.